Long non-coding RNA from Bos taurus (domestic cattle), 1156 nucleotides. NCBI's taxonomy places the organism in Eukaryota, Metazoa, Chordata, Mammalia, Artiodactyla, Bovidae. The record is from Ensembl.
GUUCCUUAUACUGGGGACUGUGAAACUUACACUGAGUUUAGUAGGACUCACUGCCGCAGGAGGGCCUGGUCUGCAGGAGAUGGAGAUGGUCAAGAGCUGGGCUUGCUGGGAUUCUCCUCGUAGAAUCUUCUGUCUGUCUUAAGAUGCCAAAAUGCAGAGCCCUGGAUUUGCAAGAUACCAAAAGGUGUUGGCACUUGAGUGAGGCAGUGCUUGGCAUUGUGCUAAGCCUGAAAAGCGAGAAGCCUUUAACACUCCCACACCAAGGAAAGCUCAGAACUUCUGACAAUGUUUUCUCAACACGAAACUGAAAUUCUUCAGAGUUCUGCUAAUGGAAAAGAAACUCCCACCCCCACCACAAGAAUAGUGUUAGUGUAAUAAUAUUUCCACUGCCCAGACUGAGUUGAAGGUCCAUAUUGUGGAGCCCUGAAAUGGAAAAACUAAGUAGGGCCCCCCAUCUUCAGUCACAUAGAGUGGUAGCUGUGCUUGCUAUAGACUGAAUGUUUGCAUCCCUUCCAAAUUCGUGUGUUGAAAUCCUAACCUCCAGUGUGGCAGCGUUAGGAGCUGAGGCCUUUGGGAAGAGAUUAGGUCACAAGGGUGGAGCCCUCAAGAAUGAGAUUAGUGCCCUUAUAAUAAAAGAGAUCCCAGAGAACUCCCUCAACCUUUCUGCCAUGUGAGAACAUUGUGAGAAGAUGGUUGUCUACAAACCAGCGAGACAGCCCUCAUCAGACACUGAAUUUCCCUGCACUUUGAUCUUCUAAGCCUACAGAACUGUGAGAAGCAAACGUUUGUUGUUUAAGCCACCCAGUCUAUGGUAUUUUGUUACAGUAGCCCAAAUGGACUGACAGAACUCAGUGAUCUUCUUGGUGAAGGAAUCAUGGUUUUGUGGUAGAGUGCCAACUAUUUAUUCAAUAAACACAGAACAUCCCUGAAGUCUAGGUUCUGAUACUGCUGUAAACAGGGUGAUGGCUUCCUGGAGAAUCUUUUGUCUUGCUUAUAAAAAUGAGAUUAAACAUUUAAGUUCUCAUCCUCAACAGAAUGAAAAAGUAAGAGGAAGUCCAAGAUUAAAAGCCAAGUAACUGACAGAGAAUUUCAGGGAAAAAAUAAAACAGAUCAAAGUAGUUAGGAAUGGCAUCAUAGAUUGAUAGUCGCUCAGUCA